GCACGCGUGGUGGAAUGGCAGACACGCCAGACUUAGGAUCUGGUACCGCAAGGUUUAGAGGUUCAAGUCCUCUCGCGUGCACCA
RNAcentral lists this transfer RNA (84 nucleotides) under Verrucomicrobiota bacterium. Its description in RNAcentral is "Verrucomicrobia bacterium (freshwater metagenome) tRNA-Leu". It matches the Rfam family "tRNA". Rfam says of the family: Transfer RNA (tRNA) molecules are approximately 80 nucleotides in length. Their secondary structure includes four short double-helical elements and three loops (D, anti-codon, and T loops). Lineage: Bacteria; Pseudomonadati; Verrucomicrobiota. The record is from RNAcentral.